Long non-coding RNA from Chlorocebus sabaeus (green monkey), 1987 nucleotides. RefSeq lists it as uncharacterized. The record is from RefSeq and is a predicted model, not a curated record. NCBI's taxonomy places the organism in Eukaryota, Metazoa, Chordata, Mammalia, Primates, Cercopithecidae.
AUUUCAGAGCUGGGAGGAAACUUAAAAGUUGCUCAGUCUAGUUCUUUGAGGUUGGUGCCAAGAAAGCUGAUCAGACUUGCCCAAAAUUGAACAGUCUUAAAUCUGAGCUGAGGCAGGCAUCUGACUGUCUUAAAUUGGAGUUAAAUGUAUUAGCAUCAUGGUAUUAACAUCAUCAUAUUCCACAUCUCAAAUCUUAUUUAAUUUUCAUUACAAUAGUGAAGUAAGUGAUUAGUAUUAUCCCCAUUUCCUUCACUGGGAGGCACAUUGUUUUAGUAUCAAAAGCAGCUACCUUGGGAGAAUCUGGGGCUAGAAACCUGACCUCAUUUCAAGUUUUACUCUGUUGCACCAAAACCUUGGGUGAGUUACUCAGUUUCUCAGCUUCAGUCCCCUCAUCAGGAAAAUGCUGUCUUAGCACUUUCUAUGAAGGAUGAUCAAAGGAGUGGAGAUUAUUAUAGAGAUUAUAAACACACUUGACACAGAGUGAGUAUUUAAGAACUGGCACCUGGUUUUUACAAAGUUAUUGGUCAUAGAAGGCAGGUUAGAGGAAAGGGCAGGCUUUGGAGUGGCUCAGAGUUGUAUUAUAACCUUGGCUUCUUUGCUUACCUAGGACAUAUACUCUAGCUGUAGCUUCCUCCCCUCUGAGAUGGAAAUUACAAGCCAUCUCGCAAUGUUGUGAGGAUUGGAGCUCAAGGGUGUAAAAAUGCCUCCUCUGUGGGCUCUCCUUGGAGACGUCUUGUAUCCUUUUGAUUGUCAUCAAAGGAAAGAAGUGGCAGGAUGAUGGUGUAAGAAGGAAGAACUUUGAGUUUAAUAGUCUGAAAAAGUGGUUACAGGUUCUUGCUGUGCUUUUUCUCUCUGCGGUUUUCUGAACCCAUCGCCUAACCUGAAGCCUUAAACUUCAUCUGCAAAAACGUUUUGUGGCAGGUGCCUCUGAAGCAGAACUCUUGAGAUGGAAGGAUGGUCAUCUGAGGAAAAAAAAUCGAGAUUAAGAGAGGAGGGACUAGAAUGAGAUUCACUUACCCUCGCUCCUCCAAGGGAAGGAGAGAAUGGUGAUGCCUGCCCAAUCCUUCCUGGGCGGAACCUUUGUAGCAUGGAACAUUGGAGAAUUUGCAGUCUGCUGACUUUCUGAUUUAGGAGGUUGAUGGGGAGGCCUUAUAAUUUGCAUUUCUAACAAGUUCUGAGGUGAUGCUUCAAAUAUGUCCAGGCAGAAGGGCCGCCACACAGAGAUUUCUGCCAUACCACAUGAGAAUUGAAGCCACAGACAUCUCCAACCCUCAAGCCUGAAACCAAAAGAGUGAAAACCAAACACUACGGUGGACAAAGAACAUCUCAGAACUUCUGUGGGGACCAGUGACACAAGGACCUAAGGUCUCUCUCUUCUCAUCUUGGCACUUCAGUCGUCUCCCCAAUCUUGACAAAGCCCUGGAGAAAGGGGCGGGCCUCCCGUUGAUAAGAUUGUCACUGCAGAUAAAUGGAGGUUUCAAACUGAAAGAAAGGAGGAGGCCCACUGCAGAUAAAUGGAGGUUUCAACUUGAAAGAAAGGAGGAGGGCCUCCCGUUUGAUAAGAUUAUUGUCACUGCAGGUAAAUGGAGGCUUCAAAUAGAAAUAGGUUUCAGUUACAGAAAAAAAAAAUUAUCUUUGUUACACAUUUGAGUUUGCAGGCCUAAGGUUACUCCCGCUACAUUGUCAUCUGUAACCAUAAGGCACUCAACAUUUUAAGCUAACUAUAAGGAUUUUUGCUUCACUCAAAGACCCUGAGAUUUUAUUCACAUUUUUAUUUGGUGACUAUAGUUGACAAGAACAAAGCUGUGGGGAAUCAACAAACACUGCCAUGCCUGGCAUUGUCACCUCACUAGAUUGUGCAUUCCUCUGGGACAGGGUCCGUACAUUGCCUUCGAAUCCCUCACUUAGUCAUUAGCCUGCACAGUGCUUGUACUUAGUAGGUGCUCAAUAAAUAUUUGUGGAAUGAAUGCAUGAUGAACAAAAUAUA